AUUGAACGCUGGCGGCAGGCCUAACACAUGCAAGUCGAGCGAGCGGGGGACGGGGGUGGAAUGUCUGGGAAACUGCCUGAAGGAGGGGGAUAACAACAGGAAACGGUAGAGAAUACCGCAGAACAUAAGAGGUGCCCAGAUGGGAUGAGCUAGUAGGUGGGGUAACGGCUCACCUAGGCGACGAUCCCUAGCUGGUCUGAGAGGAGGACCAGCCACACUGGAACUGAUACACGGUCCAGACUCCUACGGGAGGCAGCAUUGGGGAAUAUUGCACAAUGGGCGCAAGCCUGAUGCAGCCAUGCCGCGUGUGUGAAGAAGGCCUUCGGGUUGUAAAGCACUUUCAGCGGGGAGGCGUUACCCGCAGAAGAAGCACCGGCUAACUCCGUGCCAGCAGCCGCGGUAAUUC
Molecule: ribosomal RNA, 406 nt
Filed under: uncultured bacterium
Lineage: Bacteria
Description: partial 16S ribosomal RNA
Rfam family: Bacterial small subunit ribosomal RNA
Source: RNAcentral